UACGUAGGGUGCGAGCGUUGUCCGGAAUUACUGGGCGUAAAGAGCUCGUAGGUGGUUUGUCGCGUUGUUCGUGAAAACUCACAGCUCAACUGUGGGCGUGCGGGCGAUACGGGCAGACUGGAGUACUGCAGGGGAGACUGGAAUUCCUGGUGUAGCGGUGGAAUGCGCAGAUAUCAGGAGGAACACCGGUGGCGAAGGCGGGUCUCUGGGCAGUAACUGACGCUGAGGCGCGAAAGCUAGGGGGAGCAAACAGG
RNAcentral lists this ribosomal RNA (254 nucleotides) under uncultured bacterium. RNAcentral describes it as "partial 16S ribosomal RNA". It matches the Rfam family "Bacterial small subunit ribosomal RNA", at positions 524 to 776 of the family's 1533-position model. The record is from RNAcentral.